Molecule: ribosomal RNA, 253 nt
Filed under: uncultured bacterium
Lineage: Bacteria
Description: partial 16S ribosomal RNA
Rfam family: Bacterial small subunit ribosomal RNA
Source: RNAcentral
UUAAGAGGUGGCAAGUGUUGUUCGGAUUUACUGGGCGUAAAGGGUCCGCAGGCGGUUUUGUGUGUCAGAUGUGAAAGCCCACGGCUUAACCGUGGAAAUGCAUUUGAAACUACAGAACUAGAGUACGGGAGAGGAGAGGGGAAUUCAUGGUGUAGCGGUGAAAUGCGUAGAUAUCAUGAAGAACACCGGUGGCGAAAGCGCCUCUCUGGACCGAUACUGACGCUCAUGGACGAAAGCCAGGGGAGCAAAGAGG